Molecule: ribosomal RNA, 388 nt
Filed under: uncultured bacterium
Lineage: Bacteria
Description: bacterial SSU rRNA
Rfam family: Bacterial small subunit ribosomal RNA
Source: RNAcentral
GACGAACGCUGGCGGCGUGCUUAACACAUGCAAGUCGAGCGGUAAGGCCCUUUCGGGGGUACACGAGCGGCGAACGGGUGAGUAACACGUGGGUGACCUGCCCUCAGCUCUGGGAUAAGCCUGGGAAACCGGGUCUAAUACUGGAUAUGACUCCAUGACGCAUGUUGUGGGGUGGAAAGCCUUGUGCGGCUGAGGAUGGGCCCGCGGCCUAUCAGCUUGUUGGUGGGGUGAUGGCCUACCAAGGCGACGACGGGUAGCCGGCCUGAGAGGGCGACCGGCCACACUGGGACUGAGACACGGCCCAGACUCCUACGGGAGGCAGCAGUGGGGAACCUUGCGCAAUGGGCGAAAGCCUGACGCAGCGACGCCGCGUGAGGGAUGACGGCCU